Leopardus geoffroyi (Geoffroy's cat) is the source of this 1842-nucleotide long non-coding RNA. RefSeq lists it as uncharacterized. NCBI's taxonomy places the organism in Eukaryota, Metazoa, Chordata, Mammalia, Carnivora, Felidae. The transcript is spliced from 7 exons. The record is from RefSeq and is a predicted model, not a curated record.
UUAAAUAUUAAAAUUUUAAUAGAAAUGGUCUCCUAGGAGUAGAGAAUUCCCUUUAGAUUUGGCUGAUAGAACACCAUAGACUACGUGGUUUAAACAACAGAAAUGUAUUUCUCACAGUUCCGAAGCUGGAAGUCCCAAGAUCCGGGAGCCAGCACAGUCAAGUUCUUCCAGGCUGCAGACAGUCAACUUCUCAGUGUAUCUUCACAUGGCAGAGAGCAGAGAGAGGAAGCAGGCUUGAGUGACUCUUAUAAAGACAUGAGUUCUAUUCAUGAGGACUCCACCCUCAUGACCUCAUCUCAUCCUGAUUACCUCCCAGAGGCCCUAUUUCCUAAUACCAUCAUAUGGGGACAGGGUUCAACAUAUGCAAUGCUGGAGAGACACGAACAUUCAGUCCAUAAAUGAACAAAUACAGUUAAAUAUGGAAGGGAUUUAAUUACUAUGUCAUAAAAGCGAACAACAACAAAAGAAUACUACAUGUACUAUGUAUUUUAUUAGUUAUGUAUCCAUACAGGAAUGUGUGUGUCUUUGUAUGUGUUGUGGAAAAUCUGUGGUCCUUUUUUUCUCUCAGGUGCAUUCUCUUUUUUAAACAAUACAAACUGAAAAGCCUAAAUUUUUCUUCAGAAAACAAUUGUUUCAGAACAAGGAGGGUUACAUUCAAAAUAUUUCAUGAUACAUUAUAAAAUAUAAAAACAAAACUAAAACUUUCAUUAAGAGCAUCAGAGUGUUCAAAGCAUUUCAUCUCAUCAAAAUAAUUACACCUAUUAGUCUGAGCUAGAUAUUGAAAAGCAUAAGCUCACUUAUUUUUGUAAGUUAACCUCAUUCAGUUUCUUAGAAAUUUACUUUGGUCUCACGAGUUAGAAUUAAGUCAUAGAUUGCUAUACUGUAUUCAUUUGGAUGCAUCAGAAUAAAAAUGACAUGUAGAUACAUUUGAUCUCCCUUUAAUCAAUCAAAACCACAUAUGUGAGGUUUUUAUUACACCACAUCAGAUAUCAUGGGCCCUGUAACUUUUCUUCAGGUCCAUAUCACCCACAAGUAAUUUUCCUGACCAUGAAAACUUGGGAAAACUACAAUCGAGACAAAGGUAUCGGUCACGCAGGGAAUUAGAGGUGGUGAGUGAAAAGAGGAGGAAGGAGAGGUGAGAGAGAGAGGACGAAGACCAGCUCGCAGACAUCUGCUUGUUUAAAAAUAUGACUGAACGAUUACUAUUGAAUAGAAGAGCAUCACCUCCUAGAUCAACAUCUACCUUCCUCUUGCCCUCUGCUGCUACACAGGAAAAGCGUGAGGCUGGAAACAGUGACUUCCAGGCAUCUGAGAUGACACAACAUAGAUUGCCAAAUUGCAUGCCACCCUGCAGUUGCCAAGGAGAUAAUAAAUCUAUGAAACUAUUAUCAUAAAUAAAGAGAACCUCAGCCAGAAAAUAAGAUAUUAAUGACAUGAAGAAAGAACACCAUGGAGUGAGCACAAUAAUCGGAUUGUGGAGAGCUUUCCAACUGAGGAAGAACAUUAUGUGAGUGAUGCCACCACCAUCUCAUCCUCCAUUUCUGUCACUCAACAUUUCUAAUCCAUCGUUAAAGCUUUAGGCUUAAAAGUAUGGGUUUUGUUGGCCCAGCCCUGCAACCUACCAGAUAAAUGAUUUGGGGAAGAUCACUUGAUCUCCAUCAAUUUCCUUAUUGGUAAAAACAUGGAUUACAACAGGACACAUCUUUUAUUCUCUAAACCAUCCUAUUAAUCCAAAUCACCUGCAUCAGUAAGAGAGUAGAUACUCUAAGAAGUAGUGAGGAUAUGAAAGGGUACAACCACAACAGUGAAGAUCAACUCAAAUACUGGAAGGACAGAAUCAAA